Molecule: unclassified non-coding RNA, 395 nt
Filed under: soil metagenome
Description: partial contains 5.8S ribosomal RNA, internal transcribed spacer 2, and large subunit ribosomal RNA
Rfam family: 5.8S ribosomal RNA (bases 1-122)
Source: RNAcentral
GAUGAAGAACGUAGCGAAAUGCGAUACUUGGUGUGAAUUGCAGAAUCCCGUGAACCAUCGAGUCUUUGAACGCAAGUUGCGCCCGAAGCCAUCAGGUUGAGGGCACGUCUGCCUGGGCGUCACAUAUCGUUGCCCAAUGCCUAUUGCAGUGCAAUAGGAAUUUCUAGGGCGAACGAUGGCUUCCCGUGAGCGUUGUUGCCUCGCGGUUGGUUGAAAAUCGAGUCCUUGGUAGGGUGUGCCAUGGUAGAUGGUGGUCGAGUUAGAACGAUACCGAUCAUGUGCAUGCUCCCCAAAAUAUGGCCUCUAUGACCCACACGCGUCUUUUGACGCUCAUGACGAGACCUCAGGUCAGGCGGGGCUACCCGCUGAAUUUAAGCAUAUCAAUAAGCGGAGGA